AGCGGAAACGUGCAUCUGAGCGGAAACACGCGUGAGAAAAAAGGAGCAAACGCCUGAGCGGACACGCCCACACGUGUAGGUAAAAAGUGAGAAUUUUCCGAAAAUUUGGCUAUGACUUCGCGUCUUUGGAUUUUUCACAACGGAACAGAACAUCUACGAUCUUCUAAGCAUUGAGAGCACGGCCUUUUCAAUAGAACAAGGCCAGCCUAUCUGACGCAAUUGUCUGUGAAAACGUAUCAAACAAACGCGACCCUUCCAGGACAGUUGUAUUGAGAUUAUUUGCCGGCGACGAGUCUUCUACAACGCACGUG
Tachysurus fulvidraco (yellow catfish) is the source of this 311-nucleotide long non-coding RNA. RefSeq lists it as uncharacterized. NCBI's taxonomy places the organism in Eukaryota, Metazoa, Chordata, Actinopteri, Siluriformes, Bagridae. The record is from RefSeq and is a predicted model, not a curated record. The transcript has 3 exons.